This 434-nucleotide ribosomal RNA is filed under the name uncultured bacterium. RNAcentral describes it as "partial 16S ribosomal RNA". It matches the Rfam family "Bacterial small subunit ribosomal RNA", at positions 29 to 507 of the family's 1533-position model. The record is from RNAcentral.
AGCGAACGCUGGCGGCAGGCCUAACACAUGCAAGUCGAACGAACCUUUCGGGGUUAGUGGCGGACGGGUGAGUAACACGUGGGAACGUGCCUUUAGGUUCGGAAUAACUCAGGGAAACUUGUGCUAAUACCGAAUGUGCCCUUCGGGGGAAAGAUUAAUCGCCUUUAGAGCGGCCCGCGUCUGAUUAGCUAGUUGGUUGAGGUAAUGGCUCACCAAGGCGACGAUCAGUAGCUGGUCUGAGAGGAUGAUCAGCCACAUUGGGACUGAGACCCGGCCCAAACUCCUACGGGAAGCAGCAGUGGGGAAUCUUGCGCAAUGGGCGAAAGCCUGACGCAGCCAUGCCGCGUGAAUGAUGAAGGUCUUAGGAUUGUAAAAUUCUUUCACCGGGGACGAUAAUGACGGUACCCGGAGAAGAAGCCCCGGCUAACUUCGUG